GUGAUGAGAGGGCAGAGAAAGGAUGCUGAAAGGAACCCGUCAAGAGGCAGGCAAGACAGAGUGGGCCAAGAGGGGAAGCCAGCAGGCCAGCAUGCCCAGAGGAUGCCCUCUGGGGUGAAGGUGCCCAGGCCUCUGGGGACUCCUGGGUGCACUGAUGGCCAGAAGAAAAGAUGAGGCAAUGGAGGCCAAUGCUGCACAGAAUGUCAAAAUUACCUGGGUCAAGGAGAGACAACAGCACAGGGUGGUGACAUUCCACCCAGGCUGAGGCCGCUGCUUCUCUACAAAGGCUUGC
This is a long non-coding RNA of Nannospalax galili (Upper Galilee mountains blind mole rat), 292 nucleotides long. RefSeq lists it as uncharacterized. NCBI's taxonomy places the organism in Eukaryota, Metazoa, Chordata, Mammalia, Rodentia, Spalacidae. The record is from RefSeq and is a predicted model, not a curated record. The transcript is spliced from 3 exons.